RNAcentral lists this ribosomal RNA (464 nucleotides) under uncultured bacterium. RNAcentral describes it as "bacterial SSU rRNA". It matches the Rfam family "Bacterial small subunit ribosomal RNA", at positions 32 to 507 of the family's 1533-position model. The record is from RNAcentral.
AAUCAACGCUGGCGGCGUGCCUCAGACAUGCAAGUCGAACGAUUAAAGCUCUCUUCGGAGAGUGUAUAGAGUGGCGCACGGGUGAGUAACACGUAAGUAAUCUACCCUCGAGUGGGGAAUAACAACCGGAAACGGUUGCUAAUACCGCAUAAUGCAGCGGCACCGCAAGGUGACAGUUGUUAAAGAUUUAUCGCUUGAGGAGGAGCUUGCGGCAGAUUAGCUAGUUGGUAGGGUAACGGCUUACCAAGGCUACGAUCUGUAACCGGUCUAAGAGGACGGUCGGUCACACUGACACUGAAUAACGGGUCAGACUCCUACGGGAGGCAGCAGUCGGGAAUUUUGGGCAAUGGGCGAAAGCCUGACCCAGCAACGCCGCGUGAAGGAUGAAGUAUUUCGGUAUGUAAACUUCGAAAGAAUAGGAAGAAUUAAUGACGGUACUAUUAUAAGGUCCGGCUAACUACGUG